RNAcentral lists this RNase P RNA (393 nucleotides) under Bacteroidia bacterium. Its description in RNAcentral is "RNase P RNA component class A". It matches the Rfam family "Bacterial RNase P class A". Rfam says of the family: Ribonuclease P (RNase P) is a ubiquitous endoribonuclease, found in archaea, bacteria and eukarya as well as chloroplasts and mitochondria. The record is from RNAcentral. Lineage: Bacteria; Pseudomonadati; Bacteroidota; Bacteroidia.
GAAACAAACUGUCUUGUCGCUCUUCCGAAAGGGAGGGAGGAAAGUCCGGGCAGCAUAGGGCACCACACUUCCUAACGGGAAGGGUCAGUUCCGGUAACAGAGCUGAUACAGAAAGUGCCGCAGAGAACUAUACCGCCAUAGGGUAACUUGUGGUAAGGGUGAAAACGUGAGGUAAGAGCUCACGGCCGUUGCAGUGAUGUAACGUGCGGGUAAACCUUGUGGGCUGAAAAGCCAAAUAGGUUGGGGUCAAGGGCGGCUCGUCUUUGCAUUUCGUUCGCGAAGUGCGCCUCAAUGGGUAGGCUGAUUCAGGUUGCGUGUGAACGUAAUCGCAGAUAAAUGACAAGAGUCCGUGCAAACGGAACACAGAACCCGGCUUAUAGGUUUGUUUCAUUU